Molecule: long non-coding RNA, 5314 nt
Filed under: Oncorhynchus kisutch (coho salmon)
Lineage: Eukaryota; Metazoa; Chordata; Actinopteri; Salmoniformes; Salmonidae
Description: lncRNA (ENSOKIG00005043251.1)
Source: RNAcentral
AUGCCAUCUGAUUCUGCUAACAACUGCACUUCUCCUUCUCCUCCUUUCGUUCCAUCUCUUUUUCCCCUCUUCCCCUCCUCUCCUCUGUCCCCCUGUUGUCCAAUCCUUCCAUAUCGUAUUCUCUUCCUCUGUCCCUCUGUUGUCCAAUCCUUCCAUAUCUUCUUCUCUUCCUCUGUCCCCCUGUUGUCCAAUCCUUCCAUAUCUUCUUCUCUUCCUCUGUCCCCCUGUUGUCCAAUCCUUCCAUAUCUUCUUCUCUUCCUCUGUCCCUCUGUUGUCCAAUCCUUCCAUAUCUUCUUCUCUUCCUCUGUCCCUCUGUUGUCUAAUCCUUCCAUAUCUUCUUCCCUUCCUCUGUUGUCCAAUCCUUCCAUAUCUUCUUCCCUUCCUCUGUUGUCCAAUCCUUCCAUAUCUUCUUCCCUUCCUCUGUUGUCCAAUCCUUCCAUAUCUUCUUCUCUUCCUCUGUCCCUCUGUUGUCCAAUCCUGCCUUAUCUUCUUCUCUUCCUCUGCCCCCCUGUUGUCCAAUCCUUCCAUAUCUUCUUCCCUUCCUCUGUCCCCCUGUUGUCCAAUCCUUCCAUAUCUUCUUCUCUUCCUCUGUCCCUCUGUUGUCCAAUCCUUCCAUAUCUUCUUCUCUUCCUCUGCCCCCCUGUUGUCCAAUCCUUCCAUAUCUUCUUCUCUUCCUCUGUCCCUCUGUUGUCCAAUCCUUCCAUAUCUUCUUCUCUUCCUCUGCCCCCCUGUUGUCCAAUCCUUCCAUAUCUUCUUCUCUUCCUCUGUCCCUCUGUUGUCCAAUCCUUCCAUAUCUUCUUCUCUUCCUCUGUCCCUCUGUUGUCCAAUCCUUCCAUAUCUUCUUCCCUUCCUCUGUCCCCCUGUUGUCCAAUCCUUCCAUAUCUUCUUCUCUUCCUCUGUCCCUCUGUUGUCCAAUCCUUCCAUAUCUUCUUCUCUUCCUCUGUCCCUCUGUUGUCCAAUCCUUCCAUAUCUUCUUCUCUUCCUCUGUCCCUCUGUUGUCCAAUCCUUCCAUAUCUUCUUCCCUUCCUCUGUCCCCCUGUUGUCCAAUCCUUCCAUAUCUUCUUCUCUUCCUCUGUUGUCCAAUCCUUCCAUGUUUUCUUCCCUUCCUCUGUCCCUCUGUUGUCCAAUCCUUCCAUAUCUUCUUCUCUUCCUCUGUCCCUCUGUUGUCCAAUCCUUCCAUAUCUUCUUCCCUUCCUCUGUCCCUCUGUUGUCCAAUCCUUCCAUAUCUUCUUCUCUUCCUCUGUCCCUCUGUUGUCCAAUCCUUCCAUAUCUUCUUCCCUUCCUCUGUCCCCCUGUUGUCCAAUCCUUCCAUAUCUUCUUCUCUUCCUCUGUCCCUCUGUUGUCCAAUCCUUCCAUAUCUUCUUCUCUUCCUCUGUCCCUCUGUUGUCCAAUCCUUCCAUAUCUUCUUCUCUUCCUCUGUCCCUCUGUUGUCCAAUCCUUCCAUAUCUUCUUCCCUUCCUCUGUCCCUCUGUUGUCCAAUCCUUCCAUAUCUUCUUCUCUUCCUCUGUUGUCCAAUCCUUCCAUGUUUUCUUCCCUUCCUCUGUCCCUCUGUUGUCCAAUCCUUCCAUAUCUUCUUCUCUUCCUCUGUCCCUCUGUUGUCCAAUCCUUCCAUAUCUUCUUCUUCCCUUCCUCUGUCCCCCUGUUGUCCAAUCCUUCCAUAUCUUCUUCUCUUCCUCUGUCCCUCUGUUGUCCAAUCCUUCCAUAUCUUCUUCCCUUCCUCUGUCCCUCUGUUGUCCAAUCCUUCCAUAUCUUCUUCUCUUCCUCUGUCCCUCUGUUGUCCAAUCCUUCCAUAUCUUCUUCCCUUCCUCUGUCCCCCUGUUAUCCAAUCCUUCCAUAUCUUCUUCUCUUCCUCUGUCCCUCUGUUGUCCAAUCCUUCCAUAUCUUCUUCUCUUCCUCUGUCCCUCUGUUGUCCAAUCCUUCCAUAUCUUCUUCUCUUCCUCUGUCCCUCUGUUGUCCAAUCCUUCCAUAUCUUCUUCCCUUCCUCUGUCCCCCUGUUGUCCAAUCCUUCCAUAUCUUCUUCUCUUCCUCUGUUGUCCAAUCCUUCCAUGUUUUCUUCCCUUCCUCUGUCCCUCUGUUGUCCAAUCCUUCCAUAUCUUCUUCCCUUCCUCUGUCCCCCUGUUGUCCAAUCCUUCCAUAUCUUCUUCUCUUCCUCUGUCCCUCUGUUGUCCAAUCCUUCCAUAUCUUCUUCCCUUCCUCUGUCCCCCUGUUGUCCAAUCCUUCCAUAUCUUCUUCUCUUCCUCUGUCCCUCUGUUGUCCAAUCCUUCCAUAUCUUCUUCCCUUCCUCUGUCCCCCUGUUGUCCAAUCCUUCCAUAUCUUCUUCUGUUCCUCUGUCCCUCUGUUGUCCAAUCCUUCAAUAUCUUCUUCUCUUCCUCUGUUGUCCAAUCCUUCCAUAUCUUCUUCUCUUCCUCUGUCGUCCAAUCCUUCCAUAUCUUCUUCCCUUCCUCUGUCCCCCUGUUGUCCAAUCCUUCCAUAUCUUCUUCUCUUCCUCUGUCCCUCUGUUGUCCAAUCCUUCCUUAUCUUCUUCUCUUCCUCUGCCCCCCUGUUGUCCAAUCCUUCCAUAUCUUCUUCCCUUUCUCUGUCCCCCUGUUGUCCAAUCCUUCCAUAUCUUCUUCUCUUCCUCUGUCCCUCUGUUGUCCAAUCCUUCCAUAUCUUCUUCUCUUCCUCUGCCCCCCUGUUGUCCAAUCCUUCCAUAUCUUCUUCUCUUCCUCUGUCCCUCUGUUGUCCAAUCCUUCCAUAUCUUCUUCUCUUCCUCUGCCCCCCUGUUGUCCAAUCCUUCCAUAUCUUCUUCUCUUCCUCUGUCCCUCUGUUGUCCAAUCCUUCCAUAUCUUCUUCUCUUCCUCUGUCCCUCUGUUGUCCAAUCCUUCCAUAUCUUCUUCCCUUCCUCUGUCCCCCUGUUGUCCAAUCCUUCCAUAUCUUCUUCUCUUCCUCUGUCCCUCUGUUGUCCAAUCCUUCCAUAUCUUCUUCUCUUCCUCUGUCCCUCUGUUGUCCAAUCCUUCCAUAUCUUCUUCUCUUCCUCUGUCCCUCUGUUGUCCAAUCCUUCCAUAUCUUCUUCCCUUCCUCUGUCCCCCUGUUGUCCAAUCCUUCCAUAUCUUCUUCUCUUCCUCUGUUGUCCAAUCCUUCCAUGUUUUCUUCCCUUCCUCUGUCCCUCUGUUGUCCAAUCCUUCCAUAUCUUCUUCUCUUCCUCUGUCCCUCUGUUGUCCAAUCCUUCCAUAUCUUCUUCCCUUCCUCUGUCCCUCUGUUGUCCAAUCCUUCCAUAUCUUCUUCUCUUCCUCUGUCCCUCUGUUGUCCAAUCCUUCCAUAUCUUCUUCUCUUCCUCUGUCCCCCUGUUGUCCAAUCCUUCCAUAUCUUCUUCUCUUCCUCUGCCCCCCUGUUGUCCAAUCCUUCCAUAUCUUCUUCUCUUCCUCUGUCGUCCAAUUCUUCCAUAUCUUCUUCCCUUCCUCUGUCCCCCUGUUGUCCAAUCCUUCCAUAUCUUCUUCUCUUCCUCUGUCCCUCUGUUGUCCAAUCCUUCCAUAUCUUCUUCUCUUCCUCUGCCCCCCUGUUGUCCAAUCCUUCCAUAUCGUAUUCUCUUCCUCUGUCCCCCUGUUGUCCAAUCCUUCCAUAUCUUCUUCCCUUCCUCAGUCCCUCUGUUGUCCAAUCCUUCCAUAUCUUCUUCUCUUCCUCUGUCCCUCUGUUGUCCAAUCCUUCCAUAUCUUCUUCUCUUCCUCUGUCCCUCUGUUGUCCAAUCCUUCCAUAUCUUCUUCUCUUCCUCUGUCCCUCUGUUGUCCAAUCCUUCCAUAUCUUCUUCUCUUCCUCUGUCCCUCUGUUGUCCAAUCCUUCCAUAUCUUCUUCCCUUCCUCUGUCCCCCUGUUGUCCAAUCCUUCCAUAUCUUCUUCUCUUCCUCUGUUGUCCAAUCCUUCCAUGUUUUCUUCCCUUCCUCUGUCCCUCUGUUGUCCAAUCCUUCCAUAUCUUCUUCUCUUCCUCUGUCCCUCUGUUGUCCAAUCCUUCCAUAUCUUCUUCCCUUCCUCUGUCCCUCUGUUGUCCAAUCCUUCCAUAUCUUCUUCUCUUCCUCUGUUGUCCAAUCCUUCCAUGUUUUCUUCCCUUCCUCUGUCCCUCUGUUGUCCAAUCCUUCCAUAUCUUCUUCUCUUCCUCUGUCCCUCUGUUGUCCAAUCCUUCCAUAUCUUCUUCCCUUCCUCUGUCCCUCUGUUGUCCAAUCCUUCCAUAUCUUCUUCCCUUCCUCUGUCCCCCUGUUGUCCAAUCCUUCCAUAUCUUCUUCUCUUCCUCUGUCCCUCUGUUGUCCAAUCCUUCCAUAUCUUCUUCUCUUCCUCUGCCCCACUGUUGUCCAAUCCUUCCAUAUCUUCUUCUCUUCCUCUGCCCCCCUGUUGUCCAAUCCUUCCAUAUCUUCUUCUCUUCCUCUGUUGUCCAAUCCUUCCAUAUCUUCUUCUCUUCCUCUGUCCCUCUGUUGUCCAAUCCUUCCAUAUCUUCUUCCCUUCCUCUGUCCCUCUGUUGUCCAAUCCUUCCAUAUCUUCUUCUCUUCCUCUGUCCCUCUGUUGUCCAAUCCUUCCAUAUCUUCUUCCCUUCCUCUGUCCCUUUGUUGUCCAAUCCUUCCAUAUCUUCUUCUCUUCCUCUGUCCCUCUGUUGUCCAAUCCUUCCAUAUCUUCUUCCCUUCCUCUGUCCCCCUGUUGUCCAAUCCUUCCAUAUCUUCUUCUCUUCCUCUGCCCCCCUGUUGUCCAAUCCUUCCAUAUCUUCUUCUCUUCCUCUGCCCCCCUGUUGUCCAAUCCUUCCAUAUCUUCUUCUCUUCCUCUGUCCCCCUGUUGUCCAAUCCUUCCAUAUCUUCUUCUCUUCCUCUGCCCCCCUGUUGUCCAAUCCUUCCAUAUCUUCUUCUCUUCCUCUGCCCCCCUGUUGUCCAAUCCUUCCAUAUCGUCUUCUCUUCCUCUGUCCCUCUGUUGUCCAAUCCUUCCAUAUCUUCUUCUCUUCCUCUGUCCCUCUGUUGUCCAAUCCUUCCAUAUCUUCUUCUCUUCCUCUGUCCCUCUGUUGUCCAAUCCUUCCAUAUCUUCUUCUCUUCCUCUGUCCCUCUGUUGUCCAAUCCUUCCAUAUCUUCUUCCCUUUCUCUGCUCCUCUGUUGCUGUUGUCCAUUCCUUCCAUCUCUCUUCCUCUCCUCUCACCCCCUGUCAUCCUCUCUUUCGUUCCCCAUCUCCUCUCCUCUCAUCGGCCCCUGGCUCCUUUAAAGGCAUUGUCCCCUUGUUGUCACCUCUUUAAAGGAGGGAGACACCAUUUCCUCUUUGGAGUUGUUUUGCCUCUGGUGUGUACACACCAAACAAAUUAGAAACAGUAAACC